CGGGGGAGAACAGAAAACAGCCUUUAGCCCGUUGUAUGAAAGCAUGAGGCAGCGUGAAGAGAUGGGCUACCAAAUCAACAACAAGUUGUUUGGGAUGAUGCUGAGGACCUUGGCCGCAAGGACUUUUCCAGUGGGAAGAGAGCAGGCAAAGUGAGAAGAGAGCAGUUAAACAGAUGAAGACUUGAUGUGAUCUCACUGUACAGAACCGAGGA
RNAcentral lists this long non-coding RNA (212 nucleotides) under Struthio camelus australis. RNAcentral's name for it is "lncRNA (ENSSCUG00000012637.1)". The record is from RNAcentral. Lineage: Eukaryota; Metazoa; Chordata; Aves; Struthioniformes; Struthionidae.